Molecule: non-coding RNA, 31 nt
Filed under: Homo sapiens (human)
Lineage: Eukaryota; Metazoa; Chordata; Mammalia; Primates; Hominidae
Source: RNAcentral
UCCAGAUGAUGAAAUACUGGGCCAACUUUGC